Long non-coding RNA from Lagenorhynchus albirostris (white-beaked dolphin), 3193 nucleotides. RefSeq lists it as uncharacterized. The record is from RefSeq and is a predicted model, not a curated record. The transcript has 2 exons. NCBI's taxonomy places the organism in Eukaryota, Metazoa, Chordata, Mammalia, Artiodactyla, Delphinidae.
CUGCUUGUGCAAGGACAGCUGAUGCCAGCGCCAGACAGAGAAAAGAACGGGAAGCGGGUCUGUGGAAAGAGAAAGGGGAAGACGACACCUGCAGUUUGGGGCAUGGGGUGCUGCAUGCGCCCAUCAAGCAGCAGCAAAAGAGGACUCUGGAUAGGUCAUGGAUGGGCAGUGGUCAGCCAGGAGGUGGCUGUUAAGGUCAGUGAGCGGUGAGGUUACCCAUGGGGUGAGAACACUGAGGAACAUCAACCUUCCAGGGGACAGAAAGGAGAGCAGUAGCUUGAAAAGCACAAGAGAGGAAGGAAGGAGAAGGGGAAGGGGGGAUGGGAGGAAGACGUUGCUCAGAGAAUCCAGAGGUGCUCAGUAGCUGUCUGUCGCAGAGAAGUCAAGGAAGACGGGAGAGGAAUUAUAGCAAGAAUCAGCAAAAGGGAACAGGAGUGGGAUCCAUUCCCAGAGGCAAUGCCAGAUGUCUGUGGCCAAGACACGGAGGGAGAACACAGAGCAGCAGGUGCAGAGGACAAUUUAAGGAGUCUGGCUGUGAAGAGGAGGAAAGAGAGAAGUAGCUGGAGGGAGGCACAGAAGGAUGGCCUUUUUCUUCAAAGAAGGGAGGGAUUUCAGCAUGUCUGUACAGUGAGAAUGGGGCCAGGCAUGAGGGAGGGAAGGAAAAUACAGGUGCAAGAGGACAUAAUCAAGAGAAUGAGAUUCUCAAGGAGGAAGAAUGGAUUCCAGAGCUUCAAUGGAGGAUGAACAUUAGACAGUUUAAAAAACACUGGGUGAGAGGCCUGUUUUUCUAUCACUGAAAACAUUCACGGACCACAGAACGGAAAAUGCUGAAGACUACUGCUCUAAAAGCGCUACACACGCAGCUGACGUGAAUUUCUCCCCAAACUGAAAGAAAGGUCAGCUGACUUUCAUGAAAGACUUGGCUUCUUGCUCACCUGGGCUGAGAAGAGUUGUCUUAUCUGACCAUGAACUCACAGCACUUGGCUUGCUUUGGAAACUCCCCCGUAUCUUGGCAACACUCUACUUGCUAGAUGUUUAUUUUAGCAUCUACUCAGUGUGAACUGAGUAGAGGGCUGAGACGGGAAAGAGGGUAAGAUAGCCAAGGGCAACUAAGGGUCUGCUCUUUGUACUUUCAACUGAAGAGUGUAGUUGAUGCCAGUAGCACACUUUGAGGGGGAACUCUGGGCUCAGCCCCUCUACUCACUCACCAGCUGUGCUCGCUGUCUUCCUUUCCCUCACUAGGAUGUCAUGCUCACAGCAAUCCUAAAAUGCCAUUCCCACCUUCCAGAACAUCCUCAUCUACCCCUCAGGUCUCAGCUGAGCCGUUGCUUUCUCUGGGACAUCUUCUCAGACACCCCAGAUCUAGUGCUCCCAUGACACCACGUAUGUCCCUAGUACAGCGCUUACACACUCAUUCUGCACUCAUUUACUCACUACAUGCCAGCACUACCGUAGGAGCUGGGAAUACGGCUACAGACAAACGCCAGCCCUCAGGGAGUUUAUACUCUAGAGAAAGAAACAGACAAAAUAAACAUAUAACGUUGUCAUGCACCGUAAUAUUAUAAACUGACAUAUAACAAUACAAAUAUUGGGCUGGCCAAAAAAGUUCAUUGGGUUUUUCCAUAAGACGUUAUUAAAAAAACCCAAAUGAACUCUUUGGCCAACCCAAUACAUGAUGAAAUCAUCACACUUAUAAUUUCCCCUUCGUCUGUCUGCAUCUCCCCCCUGGCUGGGUUAUACAGCACAGCGUGCGGCUCUGCGCCUCCCAACAACAGCUUGACGGAUGAAACCACAGCCAUCAACUUUUUGGUUCUCUCCACUGUCCUAAGAAUUUGUCCUGGGCUUCCCUGGUGGCGCAGUGGUUGAGAGUCCGCCUGCCGAUGCAGGGGACGCAGGUUCGUGCCCUGGUCCGGGAAGAUCCCACAUGCCGCGGAGCGGCUGGGCCCGUGAGCCAUGGCCGCUGAGCCUGCGCGUCCGGAGCCUGUGCUCCACAACGGGAGAGGCCACAACAGUGACAGGCCCGUGCACCGCAAAAAAAAAAAAAAAAAAAGAAUUUGUCUUGUUUUGGUCACAUAUAAGAGAUAACUCAAACUUUACCUAAUCUUCUGCAAAGGGUCUGUUCUGCACAUUUAGUGUCAUUAAUACUAACGCCACGCUUACCUGAUUCUCAACAACUAUUCAUUGCUAAACCACGAGGUCCUUCACAUAAGCAGGGGCAGCCCUCCCUACAGAGACGCGGUGUUUAUCGGUAAGGAGCCCUCCUGCCCAUGGGUUCCCUAGUCCUCCAGGAGGUGCUGGAGUAAUAAGUCCUCCAAUUACUCUUCGCUAGAAAAAGGGACAUAAACACAAGGUGAGAUAGGAAAAAACUAAUUCAGGAGCAGCAUCGGCCCAGAGAACCCGCACGUCGGGCACCAAAUGAUUUGGUAAAAAGCUAACUGGUUAAUUGGUUAACCUCACACCCAUUAGGAUGCCAACUGUCAAAAAACAGAAAAUAAUGGGUGUCGAGUAUUGGAGAGGACGGGAGACACUGACACCCUCGUGUGCUGUUGGUGGGAGCGUAACAUGGUGCAGCUGCCAUAGAAAACAGUGUGAUGGCUCCUCAAAAAACUAAACCCGAAAUUAUCAUCUAAUCCAGCAAUUCCACUUCUGGGUAUACAGCCAAAAGAAUCUAAAGCAGAAAUUUGAAGAGAUACACCCAUAUUCACAGCAGCACUACUCGUAAGCCAAACUGUGGAAGCAGCCCAAGCGUCCAUGAACAGAUGAAUGGAUAAACAAAAUGUGGUGGAUACAUACAAUGGAAUAUUAUUCAGCCUUCAAAAAGGAAGGAAAUUCUGACACAGGCUACAACACAGAGGAACCUGAAGGACAUUAAGCUAAGUGAAAUAAGCAAUUCACAAAAAGACAAAUACUGUCUGAUUCCAUUUAUAUGAGGUCCCUAGAGUAAUCAAAUUCAGAGACAGAAAGUAGAAGGGAGGUUUUAAGGGGCUGUUGGAAGGGAUGGAUGGGGAGUUAUUGUUUAAUGGGUACAUAGUUUCAGUUUUGCAAGAUGAAAAGAGCUCUGUAGAUGGACAGUGGUGGUAGUUGCAUGACAACGUGAAUGUACUUAAUGCCGCUGAACUGCACAUUUAAAAAUGAUGAAGAUGGGAAAUUUUGCUAUGUGUAUUUUAUCACAAUUUAAAAUAUUUAAUUGGUA